UACGUAGGGUGCGAGCGUUAAUCGGAAUUAUUGGGCGUAAAGGGUGCGCAGGCGGUAUUGUAAGUCAGAUGUGAAAGCCCCGGGCUUAACCUGGGAAUUGCGUUUGAAACUGCAAUGCUAGAGUGUGAUAGAGGAGAGUGGAAUUCCACGUGUAGCAGUGAAAUGCGUAGAGAUGUGGAGGAACACCAAUGGCGAAGGCAGCUCUCUGGAUUAGCACUGACGCUCAUGCACGAAAGCGUGGGGAGCAAACAGGAUUAGAUACCCUGGUAGUCCAUGCCCUAAACUAUGUCAACUAGUUGUCGGAUCCAUUUAAGGGUUUGGUAACGUAGCUAACGCGUGAAGUUGACCGCCUGGGAAGUACGGUCGCAAGAUUAAAACUCAAAUGAAUUGACGG
Molecule: ribosomal RNA, 394 nt
Filed under: uncultured bacterium
Lineage: Bacteria
Description: bacterial SSU rRNA
Rfam family: Bacterial small subunit ribosomal RNA
Source: RNAcentral